RNAcentral lists this ribosomal RNA (804 nucleotides) under Sinomonas sp. RNAcentral's name for it is "bacterial SSU rRNA". It matches the Rfam family "Bacterial small subunit ribosomal RNA", at positions 77 to 888 of the family's 1533-position model. The record is from RNAcentral. Lineage: Bacteria; Bacillati; Actinomycetota; Actinomycetes; Micrococcales; Micrococcaceae.
CCGUCGGGGUGGAUUAGUGGCGAACGGGUGAGUAACACGUGAGCAACCUGCCCUUGACUCUGGGAUAAGCCUGGGAAACUGGGUCUAAUACCGGAUAGUACCCCCUGCCGCAUGGUGGGGGGUGGAAAGCCUUGUGCGGUCUUGGAUGGGCUCGCGGCCUAUCAGCUUGUUGGUGGGGUGAUGGCCUACCAAGGCGACGACGGGUAGCCGGCCUGAGAGGGUGACCGGCCACACUGGGACUGAGACACGGCCCAGACUCCUACGGGAGGCAGCAGUGGGGAAUAUUGCACAAUGGGCGCAAGCCUGAUGCAGCGACGCCGCGUGGGGGAUGACGGCCUUCGGGUUGUAAACCCCUUUCGGCAGGGAACAAGCCGCUUCGGUGGUGAGGGUACCUGCGGAAGAAGCGCCGGCUAACUACGUGCCAGCAGCCGCGGUAAUACGUAGGGCGCGAGCGUUAUCCGGAAUUAUUGGGCGUAAAGAGCUCGUAGGCGGUUUGUCGCGUCUGCUGUGAAAGCCCGGGGCUCAACCCCGGGUCUGCAGUGGGUACGGGCAGGCUGGAGUGCAGUAGGGGAGACUGGAAUUCCUGGUGUAGCGGUGAAAUGCGCAGAUAUCAGGAGGAACACCGAUGGCGAAGGCAGGUCUCUGGGCUGUAACUGACGCUGAGGAGCGAAAGCAUGGGGAGCGAACAGGAUUAGAUACCCUGGUAGUCCAUGCCGUAAACGUUGGGCACUAGGUGUGGGGGCCAUUCCACGGUUUCCGCGCCGCAGCUAACGCAUUAAGUGCCCCGCCUGGGGAGUACGGCCG